GGCAUUUGUGGAAAUUUCCCAAAGAUUAGUGUUUUUAUAUUAUACUUGUAUUUAUGGUUUUAAUCUCUUUAUUUAAGAAUAUUGAUUUCAGUUUUUGAUUUAUUGGGUGAUUUUAUUUCAUAUUAUGAUGACGCUUUGCAAUGUUCAAUUCUGAAAAAAACAAUAACAAAAGACUGAGUGACUGGAUAAUGCCAGCGAUGAUGCUAGUGUUAAUUAACAAGAGGAGGUACAAAGAUAGUUUUUUUUUUUUUGUAUUCAUUUUAGACAUCACAAUUGUUUUUUUUACUUUAUAUUUAUCUUUUGAAGCACUGAUAUAUCGUUUUAUUUACAUAUUUUGUUAGAUUUAAGUACUAGAAAAUAAUGGAUUUAUCAAAUAAAAAAAGAGAAACAGAGUUCUAUAUAAUCUGUUUGGAUAAUUAUACUAUUUUAAAUUAUCAUUAACUAAAAUAAUCUGUUUGGUGUUAUUAUCCAAAAUAAUAUUUGUAAUAAAAUUAAAUAAAUCAAAAAUAAAAUAAUAUUUAAAUAUUGUUUGUAUUUACUGAUAUUUUUCUUGAAAAUAUAAAUAGUUUUAUGUGUGUGUUUAGAAUUAGUAUAGGAAAUUAUUUUUAUUCCACUGGAGGGAAGUGACUAUUUGCACAGUUUUUGACAUGGAUUUUAAUGAAUGUUUUGGUAACUAUCAGAAUUACUA
This 688-nucleotide long non-coding RNA is filed under the name Brassica rapa (field mustard). Its description in RNAcentral is "long non-coding RNA (BRAP_LNC000561)". The record is from RNAcentral. Lineage: Eukaryota; Viridiplantae; Streptophyta; Magnoliopsida; Brassicales; Brassicaceae.